AUACGUAGGGUGCAAGCGUUAAUCGGAAUUACUGGGCGUAAAGCGUGCGCAGGCGGUUUUUUAAGACAGAGGUGAAAUCCCCGGGCUCAACCUGGGAACUGCCUUUGUGACUGCAAAGCUAGAGUACGGCAGAGGGGGAUGGAAUUCCGCGUGUAGCAGUGAAAUGCGUAGAUAUGCGGAGGAACACCGAUGGCGAAGGCAAUCCCCUGGGCCUGUACUGACGCUCAUGCACGAAAGCGUGGGGAGCAAACAGGAUUAGAUACCCUGGUAGUCCACGCCCUAAACGAUGUCAACUGGUUGUUGGGUCUUCAUUGACUCAGUAACGAAGCUAACGCGUGAAGUUGACCGCCUGGGGAGUACGGCCGCAAGGUUGAAACUCAAAUGAAUUGACGGGG
Molecule: ribosomal RNA, 395 nt
Filed under: uncultured bacterium
Lineage: Bacteria
Description: partial 16S ribosomal RNA
Rfam family: Bacterial small subunit ribosomal RNA
Source: RNAcentral